Molecule: long non-coding RNA, 573 nt
Filed under: Salmo salar (Atlantic salmon)
Lineage: Eukaryota; Metazoa; Chordata; Actinopteri; Salmoniformes; Salmonidae
Description: lncRNA (ENSSSAG00000112411.1)
Source: RNAcentral
GAGAAGAUCACACAGAGUGGAUCCGCUCCAUUCUGUUCUGAUGAUGAUACACAGUGCCUGCCUGUGUAACAUGAAACGGCUUUAUUGACCCUCUGCUAAGCCUUCGCUCACAGAUACAAUCUGACUUCUUGCCAAAUACUAUUUUUGGCCAAUGUUUUUCUUUCGGGAGUUACCCUAUACAAAAGAUUCCACCACCCCAGGACCAAGCAGCGUGCUCAGGAGGAGCAAGGAUCCUGGGCCUGGGAGGAAAGCCAGGAGUGGAGGACAUCCUGGGCUUGGGCCGAAAUAAUGUCAGGAGACAAAAGCCUGCCAUGGAAGCAGGCGGAAGCAGCGAAGGAGGAAAGGCGAUGACAUCGGGGCUCGCGGCCACAACGUAGGAAGCCCGAGAAGCAGCCUCAAAAAAAAAUGGGGGGGCACACGGGGUGGUCGGCGGUGCCGAGGUGUGUGCUGAGGUGUGAACCAGAGCCAGUCCACACGGGGUGGAAAUAAGCUUUUAGCCCUACAAAGCUGUACGUUUCGUUGGUUAAUCUUUAUUGUUUUGUUGCCGGUUAUCAUAAAUAAAAAUUAUUAACC